GUUAGGAAUAUUGGACAAUGGGCGCAAGCCUGAUCCAGCCAUGCCGCGUGAGUGAUGAAGGCCUUCGGGUUGUAAAGCUCUUUAGCCGAUGAUUAUAAUGACUGUAGUCGGAAAAUAAGCCCCGGCUAACUUCGUGCCAGCAGCCGCGGUAAUACGAAGGGGGCGAGCGUUAUUCGGAAUCACUGGGCGUAAAGCGUGCGUAGGCGGCUUUGCAAGUUGGGAGUGAAAGCCCAGGGCUCAACCCUGGAAUUGCUAUCAAAAAUGCAAGGCUCGAAUUCGGGAGAGGAUAGCGGAAUUGUCAGGGUAGCAGUGAAAUGCGUAGAUAUUGACAGGAACACCAGUGGCGUAAGCGGCUAUCUGGACCGAUAUUGACGCUGAGGCACGAAAGCGUGGGGAUCAAACAGGAUUAGAUACCCGGGUAGUCC
Molecule: ribosomal RNA, 425 nt
Filed under: uncultured bacterium
Lineage: Bacteria
Description: partial 16S ribosomal RNA
Rfam family: Bacterial small subunit ribosomal RNA
Source: RNAcentral